RNAcentral lists this ribosomal RNA (497 nucleotides) under uncultured bacterium. Its description in RNAcentral is "partial 16S ribosomal RNA". It matches the Rfam family "Bacterial small subunit ribosomal RNA", at positions 28 to 507 of the family's 1533-position model. The record is from RNAcentral.
GAUGAACGCUGGCGGCGUGCCUAAUACAUGCAAGUCGAGCGAACAGACGAGGAGCUUGCUCCUCUGACGUUAGCGGCGGACGGGUGAGUAACACGUGGAUAACCUACCUAUAAGACUGGGAUAACUUCGGGAAACCGGAGCUAAUACCGGAUAAUAUAUUGAACCGCAUGGUUCAAUAGUGAAAGACGGUUUUGCUGUCACUUAUAGAUGGAUCCGCGCCGCAUUAGCUAGUUGGCAAGGUAACGGCUUACCAAGGCAACGAUGCGUAGCUGACCUGAGAGGGUGAUCGGCCACACUGGAACUGAGACACGGUCCAGACUCCUACGGGAGGCAGCAGUAGGGAAUCUUCCGCAAUGGGCGAAAGCCUGACGGAGCAACGCCGCGUGAGUGAUGAAGGUCUUCGGAUCGUAAAACUCUGUUAUUAGGGAAGAACAAAUGUGUAAGUAACUAUGCACGUCUUGACGGUACCUAAUCAGAAAGCCACGGCUAACUACGUG